AGAGUUUGAUCCUGGCUCAGGAUGAACGCUAGCGGCAGGCCUAACACAUGCAAGUCGAGGGGUAGAGUUAGCUUGCUAACUUGAGACCGGCGCACGGGUGCGUAACGCGUAUGCAAUCUACCUUGUACAGGGGGAUAGCCCAGAGAAAUUUGGAUUAAUACCCCAUAGUAUAUUUGAAUCGCAUGGUUUAAAUAUUAAAGUUCCAACGGUACAAGAUGAGCAUGCGUCCCAUUAGCUAGAUGGUAAGGUAACGGCUUACCAUGGCAAUGAUGGGUAGGGGUCCUGAGAGGGAGAUCCCCCACACUGGUACUGAGACACGGACCAGACUCCUACGGGAGGCAGCAGUGAGGAAUAUUGGUCAAUGGACGCAAGUCUGAACCAGCCAUGCCGCGUGCAGGAAGACGGUCCUAUGGAUUGUAAACUGCUUUUAUACAGGAAGAAACAACUCUACGUGUAGAGUCUUGACGGUACUGUAGGAAUAAGGAUCGGCUAACUCCGUGCCAGCAGCCGCGGUAAUACGGAGGAUCCAAGCGUUAUCCGGAAUCAUUGGGUUUAAAGGGUCCGUAGGCGGCCUUAUAAGUCAGUGGUGAAAUCUCCUAGCUCAACUAGGAAACUGCCAUUGAUACUGUAGGGCUUGAAUUCUUAUGAAGUAACUAGAAUAUGUAGUGUAGCGGUGAAAUGCUUAGAUAUUACAUGGAAUACCAAUUGCGAAGGCAGGUUACUAAUAAGACAUUGACGCUGAUGGACGAAAGCGUGGGGAGCGAACAGGAUUAGAUACCCUGGUAGUCCACGCCGUAAACGAUGGAUACUAGCUGUUCGGACGCAAGUUUGAGUGGCUAAGCGAAAGUGAUAAGUAUCCCACCUGGGGAGUACGCACGCAAGUGUGAAACUUAAAGGAAUUGACGG
This 906-nucleotide ribosomal RNA is filed under the name uncultured marine bacterium. RNAcentral's name for it is "bacterial SSU rRNA". It matches the Rfam family "Bacterial small subunit ribosomal RNA", at positions 8 to 916 of the family's 1533-position model. The record is from RNAcentral.